UCUUUGUUAGUAUAUCGGUUAGUACACGCGCUUGUCAUUCUAAUGUCCGCGCGAAAGCUGGGUUCGAUUCCCAGACAGAGAG
This 82-nucleotide transfer RNA is filed under the name Hypholoma sublateritium FD-334 SS-4. It matches the Rfam family "tRNA". Rfam says of the family: Transfer RNA (tRNA) molecules are approximately 80 nucleotides in length. Lineage: Eukaryota; Fungi; Basidiomycota; Agaricomycetes; Agaricales; Strophariaceae. The record is from Rfam by way of RNAcentral.